Molecule: long non-coding RNA, 1982 nt
Filed under: Meleagris gallopavo (turkey)
Lineage: Eukaryota; Metazoa; Chordata; Aves; Galliformes; Phasianidae
Description: lncRNA (ENSMGAG00000017761.1)
Source: RNAcentral
AUUAUCUGCAAAUUUGAAAAGCCUCAGUUAAAGCUUUCCUCUCCCUUCUCUGAGUAUUUCUUAACGCCAAAUACAUCAUGUCAGAAAUCUGCAUUUUGAUUCACUUCAUGGUUGCUUGAAUGCCCUCUACUCAAUAAGGAGAACCUCACUGCCUCCCCAAAGAAGUCACGCACAUUAGGUAUAACAAAUUGCCUUCUUAAAGUAAUUGUUUCUUCAUUUACCGUAAUACAAGUCAGGCACUCCACUCAGACUAAAUACUUCAUUUUUAGACAACAAAUUGAGGUUAUUCCCAUCUUGCGUGCCAAAAACCUACAUUUCAGAGCUUAAGCAGUGCACUGCACCUCUUUCAGGCUGAGGUAAGUUGCAUAGCUUACACAAAAUACACAGCUAGUGUAAACCAAGUGGACACACAGAAGCAUGGAUGAUCAAACCUAGCAGGAGUUUCAAAAGGUAUCUCACUAAAUUACCUACAAAUAUCAGUGAAAAUAUUUGUGGUAAUUAAAAUACUGUGAUGUGACAGCAUUUUAAAAACAUUUACAAAUGAUUGCGCUUAUCUUUGUCUCUUGCAUGUUUUCUGUGAAUUUAUCAGGUGAGUGAAUGAGAUAUAAGCUUACCCUGAGCUGAAAGGAAAGAAAACAGAAGCAUGUAGACUACCUGGAACACAAUGGGACAGCUUGUUUCACAGGUUCUCCUCAUCUUUUCUGCCUCCUAACACCUUACCAAAGGCUGAAGGAGAUGUGAUACCUCAGAACAGCUGGCUCUGCCCAAGGAUUUGGCAUCCACUGCUCCUCUUGAAGCCCAGGAGACCCGAGAGAAGUGCUGGAGGUACAACACAGCUGGAAGCUCGGCUCGCAGGCAGACACAAAAGUGGAACAGGAAAGCAGGAGAAAAGAAACGCUCCUUUGUCUCGUGGUUGAACUGGUUGCCCUUGCUGGGAUACAAGCAGUUCAUCUGGGCAGAGAAACCCACUGGCCCACUUGGCAUCCUGCGGCUCUUGGCACACGUUAAACAGGUCGGUAGGUGGUCUGGCACAGAGCUCUGGACGUGCUUUCUCACAAGGGUUCUUGCUUCGCAGGGGGAAAAACAGUUCAACGGAAAGAUCUUUUCUGCAGGGUUCAUCAAUGGCUUCAUGGCAGUCAGGGAAUGGUGUUCAGUGUGUUGCUGAACGCUAAAAAUGCUUUGAUUCUCCGAGGUGCUACAGUUCAUUUUGUUGGUACAGUCUUAUUUGGAAAUAAGGAAAUUUGUUCUGUCCCAGUGCUUUAUGCAGCAGUUUUGGUAGAGGAACUGUGGAUAUAGAGAUCGUGACAUUACUGGAUGAAAUAAUCCUGCUGGAGAUGUUAGGAAGGCUGACCAAGAGUCACUGUGCUCCUCUCUGCCUGGAUAUCUGUUUUGGCUCUGAGGACUGUGAAGCAUCUCGUUUGCUCACCCCAAAUCUUUGAAGGAGCUGAUUAUGCUGACAGUUAGUCUUACUAAUUGUUAUUAUAUCAUUGCUGCAGGAAUAGAUUAAUUCUUAUGUAAAGUAUGCCUGAUUUACACUCAGCUCUUAGAAGAACUUUUCGUUUCAAGUAGGGAUGUAGGUAGGAAAUAAGAGGAAGCCAGUAGAAAAUUCAGGAUGUGCUGGACAAAUUUGAGACGUAUUUUCUAUCAGUCUGAUGCUGUUUCUCAGCCCUUCUUUUUUGCACGGUUUGUUCUUGUAACAGCUGACCAUUACCUGAAAGGUAACAAUUUUCCUCUAUGAUCUUUCACUUAUGGGCACUGAGGGGACAUUGGGCCAUGACUGAGGCAGUGGCCAUGAUACGUUAUUGAAGCUGAUAGUUACAGCCUCAGCAGUGUCAUCAGCUGGAUCAGCAAAACUGACCCUACAAGGAAGAUGUGAAGUUUUAUGUCUUUCACUGGAGUUUAAUCUGUCAUAAUCUUACUCUUAUUUCUUCUCAGCGGUUUGAACUGCGACUUUUACUUGUAGUAAAGAUGGAUUAUCUGUG